This 482-nucleotide ribosomal RNA is filed under the name uncultured bacterium. RNAcentral's name for it is "partial 16S ribosomal RNA". It matches the Rfam family "Bacterial small subunit ribosomal RNA", at positions 28 to 507 of the family's 1533-position model. The record is from RNAcentral.
GAUGAACGCUAGCGGCAGGCCUAAUACAUGCAAGUCGGACGGGAUUCAGGAGCUUGCUUCUGAUGAGAGUGGCGCACGGGUGCGUAACACGUAUGUAACCUACCUUUAUCAGGGGGAUAGCCUCUCGAAAGAGAGAUUAAGCCCGCAUAAAAUCACAGCACAGCAUUGUGUAAUGAUCAAAUAUUUAUAGGAUAAAGAUGGGCAUGCGGAACAUUAGCUAGAUGGCGGGGUAACGGCCCACCAUGGCGACGAUGUUUAGGGGAUCUGAGAGGAUGGCCCCCCACACUGGUACUGAGACACGGACCAGACACCUACGGGAGGCAGCAGUAAGGAAUAUUGAUCAAUGGGCGGAAGCCUGAACCAGCCAUGCCGCGUGCAGGAAGACGGCCCUACGGGUUGUAAACUGCUUUUAUACGGGAAUAAACCCAGAUACGUGUAUCUGGCUGAAUGUACUGUAAGAAUAAGGAUCGGCUAACUCCGUG